RNAcentral lists this ribosomal RNA (253 nucleotides) under uncultured bacterium. RNAcentral describes it as "partial 16S ribosomal RNA". It matches the Rfam family "Bacterial small subunit ribosomal RNA", at positions 524 to 776 of the family's 1533-position model. The record is from RNAcentral.
UACGUAGGGUCCGAGCGUUGUCCGGAAUUAUUGGGCGUAAAGAGCUCGUAGGCGGUUUGUCGCGUCUGCUGUGAAAACCUAAGGCUCAACCUUGGGCUUGCAGUGGGUACGGGCAGACUAGAGUGCGGUAGGGGUGACUGGAAUUCCUGGUGUAGCGGUGAAAUGCGCAGAUAUCAGGAGGAACACCGGUGGCGAAGGCGGGUCUCUGGGCCGAUACUGACGCUGAGGAGCGAAAGCGUGGGGAGCGAACAGG